AUGAGCUCUAACCCUCAAAGCAUCUGCCACAAUACAUUUGUUAAUCCUCAGUGUAGCGCACGGCUUAAUCUUGUUUUUGCUACAAGAGUUCUUUCUCUCACCCUGGACCUUCCACAGAUAUAUAAACCCCACUUUCGUUUCCAACAGACCUCACAGCCUCUGAGGAUGCCUGCCAUAGAUGUGGGCAAAACAUCAGGAGAGAAUGCUUCUGGAACAUGUCCAUACUGUCCAGAAAACACAGCAACCCACUGAUUCUGGCCACAAAAACACAGUCGUUUGUAAGUUGGAUGUUUGCAAUUUGGGGACUUCCUAUAUUUGGAAAGCAGCUGACUGCUUCAAACUCAGUAUCACUGAUUUAGUUUGUCUUCUUCCUUAAGCAACCAUAUUUUACAAAAAGCAUAUACAGUAGAGUCUCAUUUAUCCAACGUUCUGGAUUAUCCAACGCAUUUUUGUAGUCAAUAUUUCAAUAUAUUGUGAUAUUUUGGUGCUAAAUUCAUAAAUACAGUAAUUACAACAUAACAUUACUGCAUAUUGAACUGCUUUUUCUGUCAAAUUUGUUGUAAAACAUGAUGUUUUCGUGCUUAAUUUAUAAAAUCAUAACCUAAUUUUAUGUUUAAUAGGCUUUUCCUUAAUCCCUCCUUAUUAUCCAAUAUAUUCGCUUAUCCAAUGUUCUGCGGCCCGUUUAUGUUGGAUAAGUGAGACUCUACUGUACUUAGCAAUACUAGACUGCCCCCUAGUGGUCACUUCCAGUAUUUGCAGGUCCUCUCAUCCCUGGGAAUUAAACCUUCAAUGGCCAUUCCUAAUGACAAAAAUGACACUGCAAAACCUUCUAAACUACAUUUCCCCUCCAGGAACUGUAUGGGUAUUGUCACCAUAUUUGAAGGAGUCCAGAGCAUUUUAGAUCCAGAUUAAGACUUUUGAUAAAAACUGGACAUGAUUGGAGGUUUACUUUUCUGGACUCAGAAUUGCCCAGAGAAACUCCAAAAUAUGAUGAAAAUGCUUCCUUUCCCCAUAAUGCAUUGAGGGCAUUUUAGAACCAAAAUUACAACUCCUGAGAAUCCUGGAAGUCACAAAACAGCCCAGUGUGUUUAUGUGUGUGCGUUGCCCAUGGCAUAGAUCAGUGAUGGCCAACCUAUGACACGCGUGUCAGCACUGACACGCCUAGCCAUUUUUGCUGACACACUGCCGCAUGCAGAUUGAUUGGAUGACUAUGUCUUUUGUGGCCAAAUUUGAUGUGAUUUGGUCCAGUGGUUUUGUUGUUUAGUCCAUGGGAAUUAUGCACAUUACAUUUAUUUAUAUAUAUUUAUUAUUAAUUAAUUAUAUCAUUCUAUUAUUAUUGUAGUAUAUUAUCAUAUUAUUACUAUUAUUAUUAUAUUAUUCAUUGGGCUCGGGCUGUGGUGCAGGUUGGAGAGCAGCUGCAAUGAAUCACUGCAAUGAAUCACUCUGACCAGGAGGUCAUGAGUUCGAGGCCCGCUCAGAGUCUUGUUUUUGUUCUAUGUUAAAAGGCAUUGAAUGUUUGCCUAUAUGUGUAAUGUGAUCUGCCCUGAGUCCCCUUCGGGGUGAGAAGGGCGGAAUAUAAAUGCUGUAAAUAAAUAAAUAAAUAAAUAAAUAUUCAUGACUACACUGAAACUAGAAUAGAGAGAAAUCAGUGUGGAAACUGCAAGAGGUACCAUAGGUUGUUGUUCAUGGAAAUAAUGGUUUUUGUUUUUUGUUUUUUCGUGUCAGGAGCAACCGAAGUUGCUUCUGGAGUGAGAGAAUUGGCCGUCUGCAAGGACGUUGCCCAGGGGACGCCUGGAUGUUUUGAUGUUUUUACCAUCCUUGUGGGAGGCUUCUCUCAUGUCCCCGCAUGGAGCUGGAGCUGAUAGAGGGAGCUCAUCCGCACUCUCCCCAGGUGGGAUUCAAACCUGGCAGCUUUCAGGUCAGCAACCCAACCUUCAAGUCACUUAGCCCACUACGCCAUCUGGGGGCUCUAAUAAUAAUAAUAAUAAUAAUAAUAAUAAUAAUAAUAUAAUAUAUCAAUAGCAACAUCUGUAGGCAAGAUGGAAAUAAUGGUAGUAAAUAGUUUUUGAUUUAUUAAAUGCAGUUAUAUAUUACAAUUAUAUAUUUUUGUUAUUUAAACUAAACAUAUUGUGAAAAUACGUUUUUUUUCCCCUCAAACUGACACACCACCCAAGUCAUGCUAGGUUUUUUGGUGAAUUUUGACACACCAAGCGCAAAAGGUUGCCCAUCAUUGGCAUACAUGGUGCUUCAUAUAUUCUGUUGUACAAGACUACAGAAAUAUUGGAACAGCGCUUAGAAGUGUUACAAAAAGGAAUCUGAGGCUGGAUCUACACUACUUAAGCAGCUGGGUGGGAGGGGAGAAAGGGGCCUGAGGCUGUUAGGAAUGGUGGGAGUUGAAGUCCAAAACACCUGGACAGCACAAGUUUGCCUAUGCCUGAUCUAGUUAGUUACAUCUGGUCAGCAUCUUAGUUGGCUCUAAAUGUUACUCAUAUAACCCACAAGAGGGUGCUGUUGC
Molecule: long non-coding RNA, 2515 nt
Filed under: Anolis carolinensis (green anole)
Lineage: Eukaryota; Metazoa; Chordata; Lepidosauria; Squamata; Anolidae
Description: lncRNA (ENSACAG00000038913.1)
Source: RNAcentral